Molecule: ribosomal RNA, 252 nt
Filed under: uncultured bacterium
Lineage: Bacteria
Description: partial 16S ribosomal RNA
Rfam family: Bacterial small subunit ribosomal RNA
Source: RNAcentral
UACGUAGGGGGCUAGCGUUGUCCGGAAUCACUGGGCGUAAAGCGCACGUAGGCGGAUCUUUAAGUCAAGGGUGAAAUCCUGGAGCUCAACUCCAGAACUGCCUCUGAUACUGGGGAUCUUGAGUCCGGAAGAGGUAAGUGGAACUGCGAGUGUAGAGGUGAAAUUCGUAGAUAUUCGCAAGAACACCAGUGGCGAAGGCGGCUUACUGGUCCGGUACUGACGCUGAGGUGCGAAGCGUGGGGAGCAAACAGG